AGAACGAACGCUGGCGGCAUGCCUAAUACAUGCAAGUCGAACGAACUCUUCGGAGUUAGUGGCGCACGGGUGCGUAACGCGUGGGAAUCUGCCCUUGGGUUCGGAAUAACAGUUGGAAACGACUGCUAAUACCGGAUGAUGACGAAAGUCCAAAGAUUUAUCGCCCAGGGAUGAGCCCGCGUAGGAUUAGCUAGUUGGUGAGGUAAAGGCUCACCAAGGCGACGAUCCUUAGCUGGUCUGAGAGGAUGAUCAGCCACACUGGGACUGAGACACGGCCCAGACUCCUACGGGAGGCAGCAGUAGGGAAUAUGGACAAUGGGCGAAAGCCUGAUCCAGCAAUGCCGCGUGAGUGAUGAAGGUCCUUAGGGUUGUAAAGCUUACUUUACCCGAGUAUGAUAAUGACAGUAGCGGAAGAAUAACGCCCGACUAACUCCGUGCCAGCAGCCGC
This 448-nucleotide ribosomal RNA is filed under the name uncultured soil bacterium. RNAcentral's name for it is "bacterial SSU rRNA". It matches the Rfam family "Bacterial small subunit ribosomal RNA", at positions 26 to 518 of the family's 1533-position model. The record is from RNAcentral.